This 468-nucleotide ribosomal RNA is filed under the name uncultured bacterium. Its description in RNAcentral is "partial 16S ribosomal RNA". It matches the Rfam family "Bacterial small subunit ribosomal RNA", at positions 28 to 507 of the family's 1533-position model. The record is from RNAcentral.
GACGAACGCUGGCGGCGUGCUUAACACAUGCAAGUCGAACGGAAAGGCCCUGCUCUUGUGGGGUGCUCGAGUGGCGAACGGGUGAGUAACACGUGAGUAACCUGCCCUUGACUUUGGGAUAACUUCAGGAAACUGCGGCUAAUACCGGAUAGGAGCUCCUGCUGCAUGGUGGUGGUUGGAAAGUUUCGGCGGUUGGGGAUGGACUGGCGGCUUAUCAGCUUGUUGGUGGGGUAGUGGCUUACCAAGGCUUUGACGGGUAGCCCGCCUGAGAGGGUGACCGGCGACAAUAGGACUGAGAGACGGCGCAGAAUGCUACGGGAGGCAGCAGGGGGGAAUAUUGCAGAAUGGGCGGAAGCGUGAUGUAGAAACGCCGCGUGCGGGAUGACGGCCUUCGGGUUGUAAACCGCUGUCGCCUGUGACGAAGCGUGAGUGACGGUAAUGGGUAAAGAAGCACCGGCUAACUACGUG